UACGGAGGGGGUUAGCGUUGUUCGGAAUUACUGGGCGUAAAGCGCGCGUAGGCGGACCAGAAAGUUGGGGGUGAAAUCCCGGGGCUCAACCCCGGAACGGCCUCCAAAACUCCUGGUCUUGAGUUCGAGAGGGGUGAGUGGAAUUCCGAGUGUAGAGGUGAAAUUCGUAGAUAUUCGGAGGAACGCCAGUGGCGAAGGCGGCUCACUGGCUCGAUACUGACGCUGAGGUGCGAAAGCGUGGGGAGCAAACAGG
This 253-nucleotide ribosomal RNA is filed under the name uncultured bacterium. RNAcentral's name for it is "partial 16S ribosomal RNA". It matches the Rfam family "Bacterial small subunit ribosomal RNA", at positions 524 to 776 of the family's 1533-position model. The record is from RNAcentral.